This 498-nucleotide ribosomal RNA is filed under the name uncultured bacterium. Its description in RNAcentral is "partial 16S ribosomal RNA". It matches the Rfam family "Bacterial small subunit ribosomal RNA", at positions 28 to 508 of the family's 1533-position model. The record is from RNAcentral.
GAUGAACGCUGGCGGCGUGCCUAAUACAUGCAAGUCGAGCGAACGGACGAGAAGCUUGCUUCUCUGAUGUUAGCGGCGGACGGGUGAGUAACACGUGGAUAACCUACCUAUAAGACUGGGAUAACUUCGGGAAACCGGAGCUAAUACCGGAUGAUAUUUUGAACCGCAUGGUUCAAAAGUGAAAGACGGUCUUGCUGUCACUUAUAGAUGGAUCCGCGCUGCAUUAGCUAGUUGGUAAGGUAACGGCUUACCAAGGCAACGAUGCAUAGCCGACCUGAGAGGGUGAUCGGCCACACUGGAACUGAGACACGGUCCAGACUCCUACGGGAGGCAGCAGUAGGGAAUCUUCCGCAAUGGGCGAAAGCCUGACGGAGCAACGCCGCGUGAGUGAUGAAGGUCUUCGGAUCGUAAAACUCUGUUAUUAGGGAAGAACAUAUGUGUAAGUAACUGUGCACAUCUUGACGGUACCUAAUCAGAAAGCCACGGCUAACGACGUGC